GCCCAGACUCCUACGGGAGGCAGCAGUGGGGAAUAUUGCACAAUGGGGGAAACCCUGAUGCAGCGACGCCGCGUGAGCGAUGAAGUAUUUCGGUAUGUAAAGAUCUAUCAGCAGGGAAGAAAAUGACGGUACCUGACUAAGAAGCCCCGGCUAACUACGUGCCAGCAGCCGCGGUAAUACGUAGGGGGCAAGCGUUAUCCGGAUUUACUGGGUGUAAAGGGAGCGUAGACGGCGAUGCAAGCCAGAUGUGAAGGCCCGGGUCUCGACCCCGGGACUGCAUUUGGAACUGUAUAGCUAGAGUGUCGGAGAGACAGGCGGAAGUCCUAGUGUAGCGGUGAAAUGGGUAGAUAUUAGGAGGCACGCCAGUGGCGAAGGCGGCCUGCUGGACGAUGACUGACGAUGAGGCUCGAAAGCGUGGGGAA
This 422-nucleotide ribosomal RNA is filed under the name uncultured bacterium. RNAcentral's name for it is "partial 16S ribosomal RNA". It matches the Rfam family "Bacterial small subunit ribosomal RNA", at positions 329 to 768 of the family's 1533-position model. The record is from RNAcentral.